This 1465-nucleotide ribosomal RNA is filed under the name Hemiasterella sp. Po26354. RNAcentral's name for it is "partial large subunit ribosomal RNA". It matches the Rfam family "Eukaryotic large subunit ribosomal RNA", at positions 42 to 1280 of the family's 3401-position model. The record is from RNAcentral. Lineage: Eukaryota; Metazoa; Porifera; Demospongiae; Tethyida; Hemiasterellidae.
AUCAAUAAGCGGAGGAAGAGAAACUAACAAGGAUUCCCUCAGUAACGGCGAGCGAAGUGGGAUAGAGCUCGAGCCUAAAAUCCCUGGCAGGUGUUGCCAGUGAAUUGUGGCCGGUAGAGGCAGCUUGUGCCCUGCCCGGCGUCGUCGAAGUUGACCUGGAAAGGCACGUCGGAGAGGGUGAUAGCCCCGUGUGCGGCUUUGCGGGGUGGGGCAGUCGCUGCCUUCUGAGAGUCGGGUUGUUUGGGAAUGCAGCCCAAAGUUGGUGGUAAACUCCAUCUAAAGCUAAAUAGCGGCACGAGACCGAUAGCAAACAAGUACCAUGAGGGAAAGGUGAAAAGUACUUUGAAAAGAGAGUCAAAGAGACCGCGAAACCGUUAGGAGGGAAACGAAUGCAGCCAGAGAGGCCCCGAUCAGGUUCAGGGGAGGCGGGAAGGGCCGCUGCUGGAGUGCGGCUCCGCUCGGAGGGCCUUCAGCUUCUGUCUUUGUCGCUUCCCUGCAUUCCCGUUUAGGGCCAGCCAACGGCAGUUUUCCCUGGCUCAGAAAGGUUGUCGGGCAGGUGCCUUUCCGGUCGCACUUCGGUGCUCUCGGUGAGAACUUAGAGCCGGCGUCUUUGCAGGCUAGGGGGGACUGAGGAGAGUUGCGACCGUUCGCACGGCAGUGCAGGCUCCCUUUGGGGGGCCGGGUCGCUCCUGGCGGUGUGGUCGGAGCGGUGGGGACUGUUCGCAGUGCUCGCCGACUCGCGUCUGCUCCGGCGGGAGGUCGGCUACGACUUGCGCUGCGGCCGUUGGCUUGCGGAUGGCUUCAUCCGACCCGUCUUGAAACACGGACCAAGGAGUGCAACAUGCGUGCGAGUCUCUGGGUUUGUAAACCCGUGGGCGGAAUGAGAGUGAAGGCGGGCUCGUCCCGCUGAGGCGAGAGCCGCCUCUCCCGUGGCGGCCCAUCGUCGACCGAUCCCAGGCUACGCUGUGGCGGGAUUCGAGUGAGAGCGUGCCUGUUGCGACCCGAAAGAUGGUGAACUAUGCCUGAAUGGGGCGAAGCCAGAGGAAACUCUGGUGGAAGCCCGCAGCGGUUCUGACGUGCAAAUCGAUCGUCAAAUUUGGGUAUAGGGGCGAAAGACUAAUCGAACCAUCUAGUAGCUGGUUCCCUCCGAAGUUUCCCUCAGGAUAGCUGGAGCCCGGUGCAGUUUUAUCAGGUAAAGCGAAUGAUUAGAGGUCUUGGGGUUGAAACAACCUCAACCUAUUCUCAAACUUUAAAUGGGUAAGAAGCUCGGCUUGCUCGGUUGAAGUCGGGCCAGGAAUGCCGGGGCUCCUAGUGGGCCAUUUUUGGUAAGCAGAACUGGCGAUGCGGGAUGAACCGAACGCCGGGUUAAGGUGCCCGAAUCGACGCUCAUCAGAAACCAUGAAAGGUGUUGGUUGAUCUAGACAGCAGGACGGUGGCCAUGGAAGUCGGAAUCCGCUAAGGAGUG